CCCGCUGAACUUAAGCAUAUCAAUAAGCGGAGGAAAAGAAACUAACAAGGAUUCCCCUAGUAACUGCGAGUGAAGCGGGAAAAGCUCAAAUUUAAAAUCUGGUGGUCUUUGGCCAUCCGAGUUGUAAUUUAGAGAAGCGUCUUCCGCGCUGGACCAUGCACAAGUCUCCUGGAAUGGAGCGUCAUAGAGGGUGAGAAUCCCGUCUUUGGCAUGGACACACCAGGGCUUCUGUGAUGCGCUCUCGAAGAGUCGAGUUGUUUGGGAAUGCAGCUCAAAAUGGGUGGUGAACUCCAUCUAAAGCUAAAUAUUGGCGAGAGACCGAUAGCGAACAAGUACCGUGAGGGAAAGAUGAAAAGCACUUUGGAAAGAGAGUGAAACAGUACGUGAAAUUGUUGAAAGGGAAACGCUUGAAGUCAGUCGCGUCGGCCGAGACUCAGCCUUGCCUCGGCUUGGUGUAUUUCUUGGCCCGACGGGUCAGCAUCAAUUUUGCCCCUUGGAUAAUGGCUAGGGAAAUGUGACACCUUUAUAGGUGUGUUAUAGUCUCUCGUCGCAUGCAAGGGUCAGGAUUGAGGAACUCAGCACGCACCUUCGGGUGUCGGGGCUUUUGUCCACGAUACAUGCUUAGGAUGUUGGCGUAAUGGCUUUAAACGACCCGUCUUGAAACACGG
RNAcentral lists this ribosomal RNA (668 nucleotides) under uncultured fungus. RNAcentral describes it as "eukaryotic LSU rRNA". It matches the Rfam family "Eukaryotic large subunit ribosomal RNA", at positions 24 to 664 of the family's 3401-position model. The record is from RNAcentral. Lineage: Eukaryota; Fungi.